Long non-coding RNA from Homo sapiens (human), 2128 nucleotides. NCBI's taxonomy places the organism in Eukaryota, Metazoa, Chordata, Mammalia, Primates, Hominidae. The record is from Ensembl.
ACACUGAGCUCUGUUCCAUUCCCACUUCUCCACCUUCAGAAAGCCUUCCCUGAUCUCCACACACUAUCUCCACCCUCUCAGCCAAAGGUGCUCCUCCUCCGUAACCUCCAGAGCGCUGUGCACCGGCAUGCCCUGCUUAGUAGAGAGUGAGUCCUUGAGGGUGAGGCUGGGAUUAAUUUCCCACCGCAUCCUGAAAGACAAUUCAGAGUAGGAAUUUGGAGAAUGCUAAAUCUGUCUAGAACAGUGCUCCUCAAACUUUAAUCUGUACACCAACCACCUGGAAAGCUUGUUAAACUGAAGAUUCUCAUACAGCAGGUCUGAGUGAGGCCCAAGAUUCUACCAAGACCCAGGUGAUGCUGAUGGUCCUUGGACCAUACUUUGGAUAACUUGGCUGAACAUUGGAAUCAUCUGGGGAAGUUUUAAAAGGCUCCCUGCGUGGACCACACCUCCAGAGUUUCUGAUUUAAUGGGUAAUGCACCUGGGCAGCAGAAAGUUGUAACAGCUCUCCCGGUGUUUCUAACGUACUUCAAAGUUUGAGAACCAUGGUGCUGCAGGAAAUUUGCCAUGGGCUAUACAACCUUCAAAAUAAAGGCUGUGGUUCCCUGCAACACUGGGAAGAAGAGUGUCAAUGGUACCUUAUGUUUCUGGAGUUUGAAAAGGACUUUAUGAUUACAUCUAUUAUUUCUUAGUUCCCUCCAACGUGGGAGGAAGGCGUCCUUCAGAUAAGCAGCAGGCUCAGCAAGAUGAUCCUUACAGAGCUGAGACAUUAAUCCAGAUUGCUUUAGGGGAAGAAUUCUUGAUUGUCUAAACACUGAAGUUGUCUCAUUGGAAAGUUCAAGUAAAUAAACUUCAAGUGGGACGGCCAUAUUCCUUGACAACUCCAUGCUGAGGCACAGUAACAAAGAUGUUCUGCUGCCCAUUAGAGGCACCCAGCGAAUGGCAGGGGUGGAGACACAGGUUUCAGAAGUGCAUGCACACCUGAGAGGAGUGAGCUGACAGACCCUGAUAACGGAGGCAGCAAUUGUCAACGAAGAGAUGGCACUAAUCGUUAUUUGGUUUUGUCAGCAACACUGGGAUAUUUGCUGAACCGCUCAGGAGAUUUUCUUUCCCCCCAGCUUAGAAGAAACAAAUUUGAGCACUGUUUGGAAGAAGACGACAGCAGAGAGAUGGCAGGAAAAGUAAGAGCAGGUGGAGAGAGAGGAUACAGGCCUGGGAAACUUUCCUAGUCACUUAGAAGUGUGGUCUUCCAGUCAACACAAGGAGUUAAAGAAAGCUACAGCCACUGCAGUGAGUACUUUUCAGUUACCAAGGCAAGGCAUUUUUUUUUUCCACCACAUGGCAGAAUCAAAGUGGGUAGAAUUACUUUGUGCAUAUAUUCCAGUCAUGUGUUUUCAUUUUUCCCAAGAAAAGCUGUACUGGAUUGAGUCAUGUCCCACAUAAUUUAGGUUCACCCAGAAUCUCAGAAUGUGACUUUAUUUGGAAAUAGUGUCUUUGCCGAUGUAAUUUAUGAUGACAUCAAACUAGAAUAGGGCAGGCUCUGAAUCCACUAUCAGACUAAGAGAAGACACAGGGAACAGAGAAGAAACACAGGUAGAACCCCACAUGAAGGUGGAGGCCAACAUCAGAGUGAUGUGUCAACAAGCCAAGGAACAGGAAGGAUGACCCAUGGCCACCAGAAGCUGGAGAGAACCAUGAAACAGAUUCUCCCCCAGAGGUCCAAGAAGGCAGAAGCCCUGCCCACACCACGAUUUCAGACUUCUGGCCUCCAGAACUGUGAAAAAUACAUUUCUGUUGGCCACUCAGUUUGUGAUAAUUUGGUAUGGCAGCCCUGGGAGAUGAAUACAGAAGACUUGUUUAUAAAAUUUCAGUAAAGAACCUAUUGAGGUGUUUUUGAACAAGAAAUGAUUGAAUCUACAUGGACCCAAUUGGUCAUCCAGAAUUCACCAUCAUUGUCCCCCAGCAUGGAGCGAGUACCCUUUUCUUUAACCUGCUAGGACCUCUUCAGUACAAAACAAUAUCACAGAAAACUUUGAAUAAAGAUUAAGUCCUGGAUGGCAUGGCCAGUUAGUUACUAGCAAGUUAACACAACAUGCCGUCUCAACUUAAAAUUCUCUUCUGGUUGUUAUUU